UGGUAAGUCCAUAUACUUAUC
This 21-nucleotide non-coding RNA is filed under the name Caenorhabditis elegans. The record is from RNAcentral. Lineage: Eukaryota; Metazoa; Nematoda; Chromadorea; Rhabditida; Rhabditidae.